AGUAGGUUGGCAGAAUUAUGCCCUUGUUUUAGGAACAAGUCAUAGGAUUAUAUCCUACCUACUA
Molecule: transfer RNA, 64 nt
Filed under: Dinophilus gyrociliatus
Lineage: Eukaryota; Metazoa; Annelida; Polychaeta; Dinophilidae
Description: tRNA-Leu
Source: RNAcentral